This 1060-nucleotide ribosomal RNA is filed under the name Metacrangonyx sp. 3 ssp. 1 MDMBR-2012. RNAcentral's name for it is "16S ribosomal RNA". The stretch from base 838 to 996 matches the Rfam family "Archaeal large subunit ribosomal RNA", at positions 2544 to 2703 of the family's 2987-position model. Lineage: Eukaryota; Metazoa; Arthropoda; Malacostraca; Amphipoda; Metacrangonyctidae. The record is from RNAcentral.
GUACUGUAAAGGAUAAAAGCUUGUAAUAAAGAAUAUAUAAACUAUACUACCUUUUGUAUCAGGGUUUAUUUAUAUAUAAUUUUAUUUUAUAAUUUCGAAAUUAUUUGAACUAUAAAAAUAUAAGUUUAUUUGUAUCAAAAAAUAGAUAUAUAUUUUCAUAGUAAUGAAAAUUUUUCCGCAAAUAAUAAUAUCUAAUUAAAAAUGAAAUAAAUAAUUAUCUCUUUAUAAAGGAGAAUCUUAAUUGGGUAAGCUAAUUAAGUAAAAAUAAAAUUUGAAAAGAAAGAAAAUCUAGGCUUUAAAUUAGCCAUGUUUAUAAUUUUUAUUAAAUAAUUAUUCUAUACAUUAAAAUUAUUUAGAUUUAAUUUUUAAAUUAUUAGAGUAAUUAAUUUAAUAAUAAUAUGAUUAAAUCAGUAUUUUUGUUUGUUAAUUUAUAUGAACUAAAUAAUAUCUUGACUGUUUAACAAAAACAUUUCUUUCUGAAAAAUAGAAAGUAAGACCUGCCCAGUGAAAAUUUAACGGCUGCGGUAUUUUGACCGUGCUAAGGUAGCAUAAUAAAUUGUUUUUUAAUUGAAAACUGGAAUGAAAGGUUACACGAAUUAUUACUAUAUAAAAUCUAAUUUAUGAACUUUUAUUAUAAGUAAAAAUACUUAUAUAUUGUAAAGGGACGAUAAGACCCUAGAAGCUUCAAUUCUUACUAUAUAAAACAAUUAUAUUUAACUCUUAUAUUUAUAACAAUUUUGGUUGGGGAAACAAAAAUUUUAAAAAUAAUUUUGGUUUAUAAUAACACCAUUAUCUUAGAUCUUUUAAAUAAAAACAAACAGUAAAAGUUACUCUAGGGAUAACAGCGUAAUAAUUUUGGUUAGACCUUAUAUAUAAAAUUGAUUACGACCUCGAUGUUGAAUUAAAAUAUCUUUAUAAAGUAGAAGUUAUAAAAGAAGGUUUGUUCAACCUUUAAUUUUUUACAUGAUUUGAGUUCAGACCGGUUUAAGCCAGGUCGGUUUCUAUCUUUUACUACACUAAAAUUUUUUUAGUACGAAAGGACCAAAAUAUUUUAAUACUU